Long non-coding RNA from Panicum virgatum (switchgrass), 3643 nucleotides. RefSeq lists it as uncharacterized. NCBI's taxonomy places the organism in Eukaryota, Viridiplantae, Streptophyta, Magnoliopsida, Poales, Poaceae. The transcript has 2 exons. The record is from RefSeq and is a predicted model, not a curated record.
GGUUUUGCCUGUUAAGAGUCAGUCAGUCCACAAUGGCUGCAGUUGAGACUUGAGAAAGAGCAAAACAGUGGUGGAGACGAUCAGGACAUCACGAAAGCAUGCCUUGCCCGUAGUUUGUCAAUGUCCUUUAAAAAUUAAGAUCUUUAUGCAAUACUUUUUGAGGGGAGUGGUUUCAACAAAAGAUAAUUGCAAAACGCAAUUAACAAGAGAGCAAAAAAAUGCUGCUUUUGUCACAAAGAUGAAAUAAUUAAACACCUUAUCUUCAAAUGCCGGUUUGCUGACGUUGUGUGGUCCGUUGUUUACGGCGUUGGGUCUUUCUCAGCCUCGUAGCGUGUCAAAUAUUUCUGGAAACUAGCAAAUUACUACUACAGAAUAACUCAUUGCAAACGCCUCAUCACCGUCGGUUCCAAAGAGGUAUCACCGCCGGGUCAUAAUACGACCCGUUGGUGAUGUGUUUGAUGGACAUCACCGCUGGGUUGUAAUACGAACCGGCAGUGAAAGUGGUCAUCAUGGCCGGGUCGUAAUACGAACUGGCGGUGAUGCUCAUCACCCUAAUUUUUUCCAUCUCCCUCCUCCACCUCUCAUUUUUCCUCUCCCAUCUUCUCUCUCCCGCGCCGCACCUGUUCUCCCGCUGCCUCCCUUCUCUCCUUUGUCGCCUCCUCUCCUCCCUCUUUCCCCGUAGCGCCCUCCCCUCCCUUUCUUCUCCCGCUGUUCCUCCAUUCAAUUCUUUCCAUGUCACCGCUCCUCCCCCGCUGCUCUCUCCCUUCCGUCGCCACCUUCCCUCCCUCUUCCCGUGGCUCUCCUCCCUCCAACCCUCCCUACUGCCACCUCCGCUGCUCCUCCCCUCCAAUCCUGCGGCGACCGACGCACAGGGCAGCCAGCAUAGGGGAGCAGUCGUGGUCGGCGCGCGGGAGCCGCGGCCGGUGCGAGGCAGCAGUGGCAGCCACCGGGAGAGAGCAGGCAUGGGGGAGCAGUGGCGGUCGGUGAGUGGGAACAGGUGUGGGGGAGCAGGGGUGGUCGGCGCGCGGGAGCAGAUCCGGGGAGCAAUGGCAGUCGGCGCAUGCGAGCAGACAAUGAAGGCGUGUGUGGCUACAGCGGCGCGUGGCUACUGGCGGGCAGAGACGCGGGCAGCGACAGGCAUGUGGCAGCACGCACGGCAGCGGAGGCGUGCAUGGCUACGGCAGCAUGGCAGGGAUGGCGGCGCGCAACUGCCGACCAGUGUGGCCGUGGCGGGGCGCGGGGUAGUAGCAGGCAUGCUGGUGCUUUUUCUCUCUUUUUUUUAACGGACUGGUGGUGAUGCCCCACCCUAUCACGGUCGAGUUAAAUCCAACAGGUAGCCAAACCAUUGGUGAUGCACAUUUUGAACCGGCAGUAAUGAAGGGUCCUGGAGUAGUGUAAGAGGUAUUGAUAAUGAGUUAAAACUGUUAGUUUUGCUAGGAGCGAGUGGCGACUACAUGUUCGGCCUUAUAGGCAAAAAGAUGUAAUCUUCGAAAAAAUAUAACGAUUAUCCAUUGCAGGUUAUUUUUUAAUUAUAUAUUGACUUUGUAGGUGGAUUAUCUUAUAAGUGCCUGCAGUUGACGGUUCUUAAGUGCAAAAUAUAGCCGUCAACUAUACUCAAUAAUAAACGAAAACUAUAUAUCUUACUCACAUAUUUGUAUCACUAACCUAGUACCACAGUUGUUUUGUUCAUCUAGCCAUUUUAGGGAUACAAGUCUGGAAUAAGAUGAAAGCAUCAUGCGACAAAAAUACACAGAAGAUUCUAUCAUGCGUAAUACUUACAAAGAGGGCUCACCUGGCAGAGCAAACGGGUGCACCAAGAAAUGUACCUGAGAGGAUCAACACUAGAGCCCACAUGUGAGCGAACCAGGGGAAGCAGAAUUGGGGAGUGCCACCUGGGCAUCGACCGACCCCCAAGGUCGGCCGAACCUGGACUGAUUCCAGUCCAGGUGCAUCUUGACAUGGUGUGCCCCCUACUCAUCCUCAUCCCCGUGGAUAACGUUUUCAUGCUUAGAGAUGGCGGGAACCGAGCCUCCAAGCUAUAAAAGGGGCCUCACCCCGCCCCGCUUCACAACACACACCAUCACAUCAAGCCUCUCUCCCUCUCUCUUGCUACCUAUAAUCCUUAGGCUAGUGGAGCUAGGCUAUAACUUUUUCUUAGUGAGUGCAAGUCAUUCUCGAGGUCGGAGAGCAAUCCUUGACAUUUGGAGACCGUGUCUGCAUACGGAGGAAAACCAUACUCAAACAGAGGGAAAAGUAAAUUUUAGAGCAAUCUAUGCAUGCACGAGAAUUGGAAGGGUCACACACCGAAGCAAUUCAACCCAAGAGGCCAAGAAAUGCUGGCGCAUGGAUUCAAGGGCCCAUAAACAGGAGGAAACUGCCUACUUAACGCCAACCACCCCGUACCCACUUGAGGACUCACCUGGCAGUGUCCCAGAUGAAAGGCGGCGCGAGAGGCAACAUCCAGGGUUCAGCCAAACCUGAUCCUUGACAGCUUCCCGUCUCGCUCAUAUUUGGUGGGAAGAACCCCCGCACUUCCCCCAAGAUGGUUCAUAAUAUUUCCAUGUGUAACUCAGCCAUGAACCAACCUUAGAGGAGUAUAUAAGGAGGAGAACCCCCAUUCAAACACAACAUAAGAGAAGAGCUCCACUCCAAGGCGAAGCCCUGCCUCCGUAGUGGCUAGGAAAUAAGGAGAGAAUGAGGGGUAGUUCGGGGGAGGUGCCAGCCUGUCAGUACUCGUCCUCGAUCUUGUACCUCAAGGGAUGCUUCCUUUCUAAGUGAGGAUUCGAGAUCUCCUAUGGUGGUGACUCUUUUGGUUAAGUUCUAUUCUUUACUUGCUUUCGGGAUCAUCGUCCGUUUUUAUAACGGAUGCUCUAGUAGAGGGCCCCUGAUAGAGAUGGGUAACCCUGAUUGACGCUAGAGCCGCAAUCGACAGCAUAGAUGUAGUAUCUAGACUCCAGGAGGCUAGAUUACCUUUGUUUGCCUCAUGCCCAUAGUAUUGAGGGGUAGGCGUCAGGUGGUGACAGCCUUGUCUGUGCCUUGUACUCCCCCCUAUUCGGGUAUGGCGUAGAGCUAUUGGUCGGAGGGUCCUAGCAAACCGGGGUCAAACUGCCGCCCGAAGUAAGAAAGUAGAGGUUGAACCUAUCUUUACCAGAAAUUCUUAACCUUAGAAAUCCUCUCUAUCCUCGCCUACCUUACUCAUGUCUGUCCGUGGAUGAAUCAGCUAGAAGCUUAGUACACACAUUCCUUGUGGAUACGAUAUUCUUGAAUACUCACGAGUGAAAGCUACAACAAUAUAUCUGUAUGCUUGCGGAUUUACUCGUGAAUGUUAAAAAAUACCAACAUUGGCCCUCAUCAAUGGCAACCUGGGAAGAUCUUGUGGACCUUUUUCCACAUGCACCAGCUUGGGGGCAAUUGGUGUUUCAAGAGGGGGAGACUGUUAGCAGGCUAUCGUCGAUAAUGGACCGUAUCGCAGAACAAGAACAAAGAAGCCCAAUGCGGCUGUGUCCGGGCUUGAGUGGCUCAGCAUGUAAACUGGCCCAAAACAUGAGAUAGUAUAUGAGACUUGGAGAGCAGAGGGGAGAGGCAACAAUUAUUGUAAACAUCAACUUAUUCCUCAAGACUAAUCUAUCCUCUACUCUUCAUC